Molecule: ribosomal RNA, 253 nt
Filed under: uncultured bacterium
Lineage: Bacteria
Description: partial 16S ribosomal RNA
Rfam family: Bacterial small subunit ribosomal RNA
Source: RNAcentral
CACGGGGGGAGCAAGCGUUGUUCGGAAUCACUGGGCGUAAAGGGCGUGUAGGCGGUCAAGUAAGUGGAAUGUGAAAGCCCCCGGCUUACCCGGGGAUCUGCAUCCCAAACUGCUUGGCUUGAGUACGGGAGAGGAUAGGGGAAUUCCAGGUGUAGCGGUGAAAUGCGUAGAUAUCUGGAGGAACACCGGUGGCGAAGGCGGCAUCCUGGACCAACACUGACGCUGAGGAGCGAAAGCCAGGGGAGCGAACGGG